GAUGAACGCUGGCGGCGUGCCUAAUACAUGCAAGUCGAGCGAACAGACGAGGAGCUUGCUCCUCUGACGUUAGCGGCGGACGGGUGAGUAACACGUGGAUAACCUACCUAUAAGACUGGGAUAACUUCGGGAAACCGGAGCUAAUACCGGAUAAUAUAUUGAACUGCAUGGUUCAAUAGUGAAAGACGGUUUUGCUGUCACUUAUAGAUGGAUCCGCGCCGCAUUAGCUAGUUGGUAAGGUAACGGCUUACCAAGGCAACGAUGCGUAGCCGACCUGAGAGGGUGAUCGGCCACGCUGGAACUGAGACACGGUCCAGACUCCUACGGGAGGCAGCAGUAGGGAAUCUUCCGCAAUGGGCGAAAGCCUGACGGAGCAACGCCGCGUGAGUGAUGAAGGUCUUCGGAUCGUAAAACUCUGUUAUUAGGGAAGAACAAAUGUGUAAGUAACUAUGCACGUCUUGACGGUACCUAAUCAGAAAGCCACGGCUAACUACGUG
Molecule: ribosomal RNA, 497 nt
Filed under: uncultured bacterium
Lineage: Bacteria
Description: partial 16S ribosomal RNA
Rfam family: Bacterial small subunit ribosomal RNA
Source: RNAcentral